AGUGAACGCUGGCGGCGUGCCUAAUACAUGCAAGUCGAACGGAGUGGCGCACGGGUGAGUAAUAUAUAGCUAAUCUGCCCUUUGCUGGAGGACAACAGUUAGAAAUGACUGCUAAUACUCCAUAGCAAGGGAUGAGACUAUACCGUAUCAGCUAGUCGGUGGGGUAACGGCCUACCGAGGCUAUGACGGGUAACUGGUCUGAGAGGAUGAUCAGUCACAUUGUAACGGAGGCACGGUUCAAACUCCUGCGGGAAGCAGCGGUAGGGUGUCUUGCGCAAUGGGGGUAACCCUGACACAGCAACGGCGCGUGGAGGAUUACUCUUUGCGGAGAAUAAACUCCUUUUGUAAGGGAAGCGGUACCUAACGAAUAAGCACCGGCUAACUCCGUGCCAGCCGCCGCGGUAAUUC
Molecule: ribosomal RNA, 408 nt
Filed under: uncultured bacterium
Lineage: Bacteria
Description: partial 16S ribosomal RNA
Rfam family: Bacterial small subunit ribosomal RNA
Source: RNAcentral